UGGAAAGCUGACUGGGCCAUGGGCCUUGUU
This 30-nucleotide non-coding RNA is filed under the name Rattus norvegicus (Norway rat). The record is from RNAcentral. Lineage: Eukaryota; Metazoa; Chordata; Mammalia; Rodentia; Muridae.